This 392-nucleotide ribosomal RNA is filed under the name uncultured bacterium. Its description in RNAcentral is "partial 16S ribosomal RNA". It matches the Rfam family "Bacterial small subunit ribosomal RNA", at positions 523 to 918 of the family's 1533-position model. The record is from RNAcentral.
AUACGGAGGAUGCGAGCGUUAUCCGGAUUUAUUGGGUUUAAAGGGAGCGUAGGCGGGAGCUUAAGUCAGCGGUUAAAUGGUGCGGCUCAACCGUGCCCUGCCGUUGAAACUGGGUUUCUUGAGAGUGCAAGAGGCGGAUGGAAUUCAUGGUGUAGCGGGGAAAUGCUUAGAUAUCAUGAAGAACUCCGACUGCGAAGGCAGUCCGCUGGGGCACGUCUGACGCUGAUGCUCGAAGGUGCGGGAAGCAAACAGGAUUAGAUACCCUGGUAGUCCGCACGGUAAACGAUGAUUACCCGCUGUCGGCGGUAGACAGUCGGCGGCCAAGCGAAAGCGAUAAGUAAUCCACCUGGGGAGUACGCCGGCAACGGUGAAACUCAAAUGAAUUGACGGGG